RNAcentral lists this ribosomal RNA (210 nucleotides) under uncultured bacterium. RNAcentral describes it as "partial 16S ribosomal RNA". It matches the Rfam family "Bacterial small subunit ribosomal RNA", at positions 524 to 732 of the family's 1533-position model. The record is from RNAcentral.
UACGUAGGGGGGCGAGCGUUGUCCGGAUUCAUUGGGCGUAAAGCGCGGGCAGGCGGCCCGCUCAGUCGGCCGUGAAAGCGCCGGGCUCAACUCGGCGAGGUCGGGCGAUACUGGCGGGCUGGAGGCUGGUAGAGGGCGGUGGAAUUCCGGGUGUAGUGGUGGAAUGCGUAGAGCUCCGGAGGAACACCAGUGGCGAAGGCGGCCGCCUGG